GCGCAAACCCCGCGUUGGAAAAUGGAAAAUGGCAGGUUGGAGCCUUUGAAAAUGGAGCCUCCCGAAUUGGUAAAGGAGGCCGAGGAGGCUGAAGAGCAGACCAAGUCUUUGACGACGGCUGAAGACCUGCUGGCAUUGGUGAAAAGGCUGCAGAAAGAGGGAAGCCUAGAGCCACAGAUUAAAGACCUGAUUAACCGGAUUAAUGAGCUUCAGCAAGCAAAGAAGAAAUCCAGUGAGGAACUGGGAGAAGCCCAAGCUCUCUGGGAGACCCUGCAUAGGGAACUGGACUCCUUGAAUGGAGAGAAAAUGCACCUUGAGGAGGUCUUGAGCAAGAAGCAAGAGGCACUGAGGAUCCUCCAGCUGCACUGCCAAAGGAGGGAACGUGGGGCUCAGAAGAAGGGCACGUUGCAGGAGUUCACAGAGCAAAUUUCAAUCCCUAACUCUCAGGUCACAGAGAACUGCACAAAGAAACAGCUGGGGUUACACGUUGAAGAACAGCUGGAGACUGUGAUGGGCCAGCACAAGGACCUCUGGGAAUUCCACGUGUUGAAGCAGCGACUGGCCUGGGAGAUACGCGCCCUGCAGAGCAGCAAGGAGCAGUUGCUCACUGAAGAGAAACUGGCGCGGGCCAAGCUAGAGGAGGUGGAGCUGCAGCUGAGUUCCCCACCCGAGGUCCGGGAUGCCCGGGCAGUGAACGAUGGGCUGAGGGCGGAGCUGGAGAAAUUCGGGGGCCAGGAUUCUGCCCAAAUUCAUUGCACGCCAAAGGACGGGGCCUCCAAAAGAGAGGCCGGCCCCGAGCGCCCCGGCGCCCUCAGCGAGGACCUGGAGCCGCCCCCAGAGCAAUAGGACCCUCCCGAAGCUCCUCACCCCUACCCGCUUCGAGGCGGGCCGAGAAAUAAAGGCGAGGAUAUCGGACCUUCCUCCACCUCCUGCCUGAGUCUGUAUUCCCGGGUCCGGGGGUGGAGGGCAGGGCCCUUGCUCGCAGCAGGCCGGGGGCGUGUCCAGGCACCCCGGGCGGGGCUUCUUCCGGGCUCCGCCCACCAGCCGCGUGCAGGACUCAGGAAGCUCCGUGAACGUUCCUGAGCAUCACGAAGGACACGUGGGUGGGUGUGUUAGGAUAGGGAGUGGACCACCCCUCAAUUAGACAGAGAACACUCUCGAUGAUGCAAGUCACACAGCGAGGUUUGUUUCCAGCUAGCGGGGGUCCGAGUAUCUGCCCGGCGCAGCGGGUUUCUGCAAGGACCCCCGCUAGCUGGAAACAAACCCCGCUGUGUGACUUGAAUUAUCGAGAGUGUUCUCUGUCUAAUUGAGGGUUGAGGGGUGGUCCACUCCGUAUCCUAACAUUUGGAGGUUUAAGACCCUCCUCAGAGAGACAGACAACUCCCCGAUACCGAGGUUUAACUAAAGGAACCGCGGAAGGAGGAUUGGCCACCUCCGUCUGGAGAACUUAAGGUUCUCGCCUGGAGGGACUGAAGGUCGCUAUCUGGAUCUGGUAGAGAAUUCUCAUCUGGGUGGGCGGAAGGGUUGCGACCCUGGAGGCUCCAUUUCUGAAGUCGCGGGAGAUGUCCCCAACGAAAGGGUGCCGGAACGACGUCCACAGUGGACGCCGUUUGGCCGGCCAGGUAAGGGUCCUGAGUGGUGUGUGAGUGCGCCGGCGCCUGUGGGUGUGGUGUGGCUGACCGGCCGGUGGGUGUUAGAAAACUCGUUUCGAAUGUGUGUGUUUGCUGGCUUUGUGUCUCUUGUCUUUUCCUGGCUUCUUUCUGUAAUAAUAAUGGGACAGGCUCAGGUAACGCCCAAGACCCUGCUCCUGAACCACUUCCCUGAGAUCCGCGCCAAGGCUCACAGUCAUGGCGUGGAAGUAGAAAAAGGUAAGUUUGAUACCCUCUGCUCUGCAGAAUGGCCUACUUUUAAGGUGGGCUGGCCAACCCAGGGGACCUUUUCUCUGGUCCUUAUUAAGAAAGUCCGAGAUGUGAUCAACUGGCCCGGACUACACAGCCGCCGGGACCAGUAUCCCUGUAUUUUAAUGUGGCAGGCUUUGGGGGAAAGUCCUCCCUCCUGGCUGAAGCCAUUUGUCCCCGAGAAGCCGGGGGACACCUCCCCCCGGUGCUGGCCACCUCUCGAGCCCCCCAGCAUCUGACUGCGCCCGAUCUUAUGGCCCACCCGAAACUCCCGGGGAGCCCAUCCAAGAAACCCUUUCUUACAGGAAGGGUCGGACCUGUACCCCUCCCUGAUAGACCUAGAUUUAGAAGAAACCGCCGCUCCAACCUGAGGCUGCCACCCCUCCCGAGCCCCUUCAUUUGUCUACCUCCCCGUCAGCACCCGCCCCCCGCUUCAACCCAGGGACCAGCAAAGGGAUUAAGGCCCCGCAGGCACAGGGAGGAGACCCCUGAAGAGGAACCGUCCUCCUCCACCUCAGCCGGGGCGCCCAUUCUCCCCAUAGGGGCCCUGGGAGGUACUGGCCCAAAUGGGGAGCGAUCUUACCAGUAUUGGCCUUUUUCAAGCAGCGAUCUGUAUAACUGGAAGGCUCAAAACCCCCCUUUUUCUGAAGACCCAAAGGGUCUAACUGACCUAAUUGAGUCUGUUAUGCACGCACAUAGCCCCACCUGGGAUGAUUGUCAGCAGCUCCUUAAGACCUUGUUUACUCCCGAAGAGUGCGAGCGAAUCCUCACUGAGGCCAGAAAGAAUGUCCCCGGCGACAACCUUGCCGAACCUGAUGGAGGAGCGCUUCCCCUUGGAUAGACCUGAUUGGGACUUUGGGAUCGCGGAAGGUUGACAGCAUUGGGCCUUGGGUCUACCACUCCCUCGUACACCGAGCCACCCAGCCGCAGCAGAGACAAGCCAGGGAGUGACGCAAAAGUAAACCGUCCAGUGUGGCACCAGAUACGAAUGUAGCUAUGGAAAAUUACUGUGUGUCAAGUGCUUUGAAAAUGCUAUAUAAACCCUUGGCUUUGAGUGUUCGGGGUCUUUAUAGAAACCUGCUGCAUCGCACAGAUACUCGGACCCCAGCUACCUGGAAAUAAACCUCGCUGUGUGACUUGCAUAAUCGAGAGUGUUCUCUGUCUAACUGAGGGGUGGUCGACUCCGUAUCCUAACAGGUGUCGGGUGUCCAAGCCCCCCCAUCUCCUCCGCAUUUCCUAACUGUUUUACCAACCAGGGCUGGAGGGAACGUGGUAAAAACCCGUGUAAAAUCCUGUCUCCUCUGGUUCGGAGUAAAAUCGCAGCCUCCCAAGAGCCCCUGCAUCCCCCACAGACUCCCACGGUCUACUCGGCCUUCCCCAUGUUCGGGUCCAGCCAGCUUCUUUUGCAGCCUCUCCCUGCACUUUUCCUCUCAGGGCCUUUGCUGUGUCCUCACGUGCAGCACCUUCCCCCUGGUUCUCUAACUGCGAGUCUGUUAAAAGGCUGUCAGCUCCCUCGGAGGCUCGCCUAUUGCCUCCGAGGCAAUAGGGACCCUAUUGCAAAAGCCACCUUGCGCCAGGACGCUGUCAUUUACUAAACAUGCCUUGGUAAACUGUCUGCGCUGGUGGUCUGCUGUGUGCCAGGCACUGGUGUGGGCCCUGAACUGAAAUAGCGUGGGCAGGGGACGUCUCACUGAGCAGGGAGGGGAGGGGGCAAGUGAGGAAGGGAGCCGUGGACAUCUGGGGAGAGGUGCCCCUGGCAGAGGGAAUGGCUUGUGCAAAGGCUCUGAGGAGGGACUGAGUUUUGUGUGUUUGAGGAGCAUCUGGAGGGAGCCAGUGUGUGGGGCACGGUGAGGUGGAGAGGAAGGGGAGGUAAUCCUGCAGAACUGCUGGGGACCCAGUCAAGUCGGACUGUGUCUGCCUGGUUUGUGUGGUGUUCUGAGAAGGGACCCUGGCCCCCAGCAAACAUUCAGUGCGUGCUAGUUAUCACUUAGAUCCCCGGGCCCACUGCCCACCCGCCUCAGGCCAGCCUCCAAGGAUCUU
RNA transcript from Mustela erminea (ermine), 3938 nucleotides. It is a transcript of the gene named synaptonemal complex central element protein 1 like, with no coding region annotated. The transcript has 13 exons. The record is from RefSeq and is a predicted model, not a curated record. NCBI's taxonomy places the organism in Eukaryota, Metazoa, Chordata, Mammalia, Carnivora, Mustelidae.